GGGCCACCUGAUAGAAACCCUUCUGGAGGCUGAGGCGACCUCUGCCUGCUUUGACGACGUGGUCCACGUCCUGAAGGGCUGGCUCACCUCAGCCAAAGCAUGGGAGCGGGAGAGAGCCCUGCGGGUUUGCACCCACGUGCUGGGCGCUUGCAAGGAGCGAUGUGAGCUCGUGAGAGGAUGUCCCUGCAAGCAGUUGGGCUCCCUGGUGGGACUGCUGGGGUCUCUGACCGGCGACUGCCUGGCCACGUGCCGCCAGAGGGCAUGGG
Long non-coding RNA from Aquila chrysaetos chrysaetos, 266 nucleotides. RefSeq lists it as uncharacterized. The transcript is spliced from 3 exons. NCBI's taxonomy places the organism in Eukaryota, Metazoa, Chordata, Aves, Accipitriformes, Accipitridae. The record is from RefSeq and is a predicted model, not a curated record.